GAUGAACGCUGGCGGCGUGCCUAAUACAUGCAAGUCGAGCGAACGGACGAGAAGCUUGCUUCUCUGAUGUUAGCGGCGGACGGGUGAGUAACACGUGGAUAACCUACCUAUAAGACUGGGAUAACUUCGGGAAACCGUAGCUAAUACCGGAUAAUAUUUUGAACCGCAUGGUUCAAAAGUGAAAAACGGUCUUGCUGUCACUUAUAGAUGGAUCCGCGCUGCAUUAGAUAGUUGGUAAGGUAACGGCUUACCAAGGCAACGAUGCAUAGCCGACCUGAGAGGGUGAUCGGCCACACUGGAACUGAGACACGGUCCAGACUCCUACGGGAGGCAGCAGUAGGGAAUCUUCCGCAAUGGGCGAAAGCCUGACGGAGCAACGCCGCGUGAGUGAUGAAGGUCUUCGGAUCGUAAAACUCUGUUAUUAGGGAAGAACAUAUGUGUAAGUAACUGUGCACAUCUUGACGGUACCUAAUCAGAAAGCCACGGCUAACUACGUG
This 497-nucleotide ribosomal RNA is filed under the name uncultured bacterium. RNAcentral describes it as "partial 16S ribosomal RNA". It matches the Rfam family "Bacterial small subunit ribosomal RNA", at positions 28 to 507 of the family's 1533-position model. The record is from RNAcentral.